UAAACUGAGUCACUUUCUGACUUGCAGCAUUUGCUACUUCGUACUGGCAUGCAGUGAAAAAAGUUAACAUGCAGAGCAGAACACUUAUUGACGCCUGAAAGACCACAGCUACAGGUUCAAGUGGCCUUGCUGCUGCGAUCCAAAGUCCAAACAAGAUAAAGGAGGAGGGCUUUUUCAACAGGAGGUUUCAUUGUCUCAUUGAAGAGAAGAAAAGAUGUUUAAUACUCUUGUACUCAUUUGCGUGACUUGGUGGUAUGUGACACUAUUUCAUCCCUUGCAUGCUGACCUCCAGUGUACGGGGUCAGAAGCACAAGAAUCACCUAUUACAAAUGUGAAAAUGAACUGGAGAAAAAUGGAACUAUCCUGGGAGAGCAGCAAGAAUUUCUCUACAUACGAAUGUACCAUCAUGGACAAGAACAGGAAUUCUGUACCAAAAAAGGUGAAUAGUUCACCAUGCAGGUUUCCGGUGGAACAAUACAUUGCUCUGCACAAAGGGGUAUUCUUUACCAUUGAAGUGCCAAACACAAACAUCUCAGAAAGCUGCACCUUUAUCCCUGGAGGCAUGAACGGCUCGGCCAUUGAAAAUUUCUCCUGUGUGAUUUAUAACGUUUCCCUCAUGAACUGCACAUGGCAGGCAGGCAGGAAUGCUCCAGAAGAUACCCAAUAUUUUCUCUACUGGCAGUACUCGAGAUAUGAUGAUGCAAUGGAAUGCAAGCUUUACAUUAAAGAUGAAAACGGCAGAAACACGGGAUGUAGAUUCCAAAAUGUGACAAUACAGACUGCAGUAGAUGCUUACUUCCUGGUGAACGGGUCUAGCAAUGAGUCCCUGAUUCAGUUCUACGAUGAGUACAUUAAACUGUAUGAAAUUGAAAUACUCACUCCUCCAUUAAAUGUCACUGUCAAUUGUAUUAGAGAUUCAUCAGGCUGCAUAAUUACAUGGCAACAACCUCUUACAAGUCAUCGGAAAAAGACGAAGUGUUUUGAGUAUGAAAUUAGGAUACAAAAUAAGGAUGACCCCAAAAAAGAGAAUAAGGAUCCUCCUGUAAGAGUAAGGAACAACACAUACAAAUUCGAAAAUUACAAUAAGAAAAAGAAGUACAUUCUGAAAAUCAGAGCACGUGGAAGAAACUGUCUCUUGAGCUCAGACUGGGGGGAAUGGAGUGAACCCAUCGAGUUUGGUCAAGGGAAAGAUUACUUUAUUUUCGUGAUUUUAUUUCUGAUAGCACUUGGAACAAUCUCAGUGACGCUGCUCCCAUAUUGUCUUUUCAAAAGAUAUUGCAGUUUCAAGAACAUAUUUUCACCCAUUCCACAACCAAGAGACAAGUUCAAUGCGUCAAAUGGUGAAGAUACCCAGGUAUCUAACGCUGGUGGAGUGCUGUAAUUCUUCAAAGCAGAAAAUAAAGCACAACAAAUAGGUUCUCAGGAGAGCUCUCCUUCUCCAUUGAUACCGACAGAAUACGUAAAUCUACCAAAAAAGAGCCAUACGGAGGAAAUAACUAUAGUUGAAGAGAUGGUCUAACUUUCCCAGAAGAAAACACACUUGGAUUCCCCAACAUGAAAGAAAAUCACGGAUCUUGACAACUAAGGAGUACUUCAAAGCACAGACUUGAAUCGAAUACCACCACCUAUAAAACUAUCUGUCACAUGAAAAACCACCUAAAAUGGAGCAGGCGAAAGAAGUGGAGAAAACCUGGUAAAAAGCUGUUCUUUUCCCUUUGUUCAAAACCACAACGCCUGGCAGCUAAGCUUUUCUGCAAACACCUGCUGCGAAGACGGGCUUAAACCUUGCUGAGAUUUUCUUUGCAGUGUGAGGCAAGGCUUCUCAUCCACAACACGGAAGAAACUUACUAUUUCCUGUUGUUGUUGCUGUGGUGCUUCUUCCAGCUGAAUGUGAUGAUUUCCUAUAGGACUGCGCAGGAAUGCCACAGUAGUUAACUUUCCCUAACCAUUUUUGUAUACCCCAAGUAUUUUCUGAAGCAGACACUAGCUAUUUGAAGUGCGUUUAAAAUUGCCCUUCAGCCUUGCAACCAGCAAUACCAAACUGUCACUGCAUAUUCAAUAAACUUUAUGCAACACAGAAAAUGGGAAAUAAAAUGCCACUCGCCAAAAGUAACCCUUAUUGCUGGGCUGCCAGUCAGCCGUUUCAGGAGCUCGGUACUUCCAAUGCAAAUGCAAACACCUGCAAUAGCAAUAUGGACUUAACUCACACAGGUAUUAUUUAACUCUUAAAAAAAUGCAGUGUAACAGUUGUGAGAAUUGAAAUUAAACCUGUAUGUAACCUGAUUUAAUAACUGGUUUUUAAAUGGAAAGAUUUCCUCACACCAAUGUAUUUUAUUUAUUCCUUUUGAAGUGUGCAAGCCCUAUUUCCAAUGCCUCUUAAAAAUAAUAUAGGCUUUAGAUGCCGGCAUUUUCUUAUACAAAUUCCAGAUCUUAUCCUGUUAAAAAUAUUUUUUAAAAUAAAUGCGUUUCAAUGAGUAACUGUUUCAAUAAGGCAGAAAACAAAUGCUUUUUUUAAAAGUCUCAUUUAUUGUUCGCCUCUUAUGUUCCCACGCUGCAUAAUCAUACAUUGAAAAUUGCUGCUGCAUGACUAAGGGAAGCCACAUAUUAAAAAAAAAAAUAAAAAUGAACAACAAGUAGUACAUGCUGAACACACAGCAUAGGUAAACUGCA
Molecule: RNA transcript, 2670 nt
Organism: Chroicocephalus ridibundus (black-headed gull)
Lineage: Eukaryota; Metazoa; Chordata; Aves; Charadriiformes; Laridae
Gene name: granulocyte-macrophage colony-stimulating factor receptor subunit alpha-like
Exons: 13
Source: RefSeq, a predicted model, not a curated record